GGCUGCGACCAUACCACGUUGGAAACACUCUCGUCUGAUCACCGAAAUGAAGCAACGUCGGGCCCGGUGACCGGCUGGGAAAAGCGAGUGUUGCGGCCG
RNAcentral lists this ribosomal RNA (99 nucleotides) under Echinostoma caproni. Lineage: Eukaryota; Metazoa; Platyhelminthes; Trematoda; Plagiorchiida; Echinostomatidae. The record is from RNAcentral.